GACGAACGCUGGCGGCGUGCUUAACACAUGCAAGUCGAACGAAGAGCGAUGGAAGCUUGCUUCUAUCAAUCUUAGUGGCGAACGGGUGAGUAACGCGUAAUCAACCUGCCCUUCAGAGGGGGACAACAGUUGGAAACGACUGCUAAUACCGCAUACGAUCUGACCUCGGCAUCGAGGAUAGAUGAAAGGUGGCCUCUACAUGUAAGCUAUCACUGAAGGAGGGGAUUGCGUCUGAUUAGCUAGUUGGAGGGGUAACGGCCCACCAAGGCGAUGAUCAGUAGCCGGUCUGAGAGGAUGAACGGCCACAUUGGGACUGAGACACGGCCCAGACUCCUACGGGAGGCAGCAGUGGGGAAUCUUCCGCAAGGGACGAAAGUCUGACGGAGCAACGCCGCGUGAGUGAUGACGGCCUUCGGGUUGUAAAGCUCUGUUAAUCGGGACGAAAGGCCUUUUUGCGAAUAGUGAGAAGGAUUGACGGUACCGGAAUAGAAAGCCACGGCUAACUACGUG
This 510-nucleotide ribosomal RNA is filed under the name uncultured bacterium. RNAcentral describes it as "partial 16S ribosomal RNA". It matches the Rfam family "Bacterial small subunit ribosomal RNA", at positions 28 to 507 of the family's 1533-position model. The record is from RNAcentral.